Molecule: long non-coding RNA, 3078 nt
Organism: Pseudopipra pipra
Lineage: Eukaryota; Metazoa; Chordata; Aves; Passeriformes; Pipridae
Exons: 3
Source: RefSeq, a predicted model, not a curated record
UUUGUUUUUCAGGUUUAAACCUCCAGACGGGUUGAAGAAAUCGCCCGACAGGAACCACUCGGCAAAUUUUGUUUCCUCCCUUGAAAUCCCACUGGAUGUGGAGCAGAUCAUUCACUUGAAGACGCCGAAGGACAGUUUGUGGAAGGUUUAAAGAAGUGAAAGCAGGAGAUCCUGGGGAGAAGGCAAGGGUGGAAGAGAUAUGGGAUCAUAAAAUUUGGCAGAGCAAGUGAUUGAGGAGGUUGUCUUUGUUAGUUUGUCAGCAUCACAGUUACAAGUAAAAUAUGCUUGUAAAAUACAAAUUCAAGUAAUUUCAAAUGAAAAAUUAAAAAUUGCUUUCCCAUUUUUUUUCCUUAGGAGUCUUUCACUUGUUUGUCAUUAUUUUGUCACUCUCUUGUCUAGGAAUCAAAAAUACAAAGACUGAGUAAUACUGCUUAUUCUCAUAAAUUACUAUAAAAAUCUGUACAGCACACUCAGUUUAGAGGGAGUUCCUCUUCUUCCCCUUUAAAUGAGUCCCUGCCAGCAGCAAGUGUGUUGAUAUACUGAUCUGAAGGACUCAGGCAUGAUGCCAACUAAAGCAAUUUAAAUGACAUGGUUAAUAGUGUCUCUACUGUCCUUAUCACACAGUAGCUGUCUUUAAUAAACUCAGUGACUUCCAUAUGAUAAUCAUGGAUGACAAACUAACUGUAGUCCUAGCUCUCAUGUUCAGAUGAACUCCCUUUUGCUCUGAUUGAUAAAUAUGAAAUGCGAAUUACAGACAGACUGUAGAAAUUUGCAAAAUAUACUUCCCUCCUCUAAGUUUGUGAUCUCUUUCAGACAAAUAAGACCCAAAUAGAUUAUCUGAAAAAAAAUUCUAAAGUUAGUGUUCCCAUGGAUUGCAUUGCUAUCAGUGUAAUUUUUAAAAGUUUUUCUAUAGUAAUAAUUGUAUGCGGGACACUGCAUCCUUCAAGUGAAUCCUUAUCAAACACUUCAGAAGAGGAAAUAAUUUUACAUAAAUUAGGUAAGCCAGUGUAAUAUGUCUAACAAAUCAAAACACUCUGUAACUCUUGUAAAGCGUUUUGGAUGGAAGUGAAGAUUGAUCCAUCAAUUUCAAUUUGACAUGAGUAACCUUUAAAAAACAGCAAAUACAAUUUCAGAAGUAUGCACACUGGUAAACAGCUGUUUCACAGUGGGAGUUUUAAAUUUCUUUGAGUACCUCUGGUACUCAUACUGACUUUUUCCUUUGUCAAAUUUAAGGAUUACAACAUACUAUAUAACCACAGAAGAAUAGAGUAGUACAGUUGACAGGUUAACUGCAAAUUGCAUGUAUGAUUGCUUAGUUGUUUUUCUUUUUUUUUUUAAAGGUUUGAUCCUAAAAUAUCAUUGCUAGAUCUUAUCUUCCUGAUUUUCAAACCUGCUAAAUUUUGCCAAAAGCUGUAGAAAUGCUCAUGUUCUCAGCAGCUGUGAAGAGCUUACUAAAGCACCUAAGAAUAAUGUGUUUCAUGUCUUGUGACUGUGGUUGAAAUACAGUGCUGUGUGCUUAACUGAUAAGUUUGGAAAUGCUCUUCUUAAUGGUCAAGAUUGUGUUUUUGAAAAUGAAUACAUGAAUGCAGAUUGUCGUCACAGUUUUUAUUUCUUGCGGCUUUGUUUGCAAAAUUCAUUCCUUUGAGACUAGUGAAAAAUAACAAGAUUCUAGCUGUAUCUUAAAAGUAACAGUAGAUAAAUAAUAGUACUUUCCUAAAAGCCUUGUACAAAUGAAGAAGUCUGAUUUUUUUUUUUUACUUUGUGUCACCAAUCAUAUUAUAGUCAUAAUGAAAGUUAAACAAUAUAAGUGUUAGAUUUUGUCAAAGUGAAAGACCCAACCUGAGAUAGUACCAAAAUGCUCCCAUGAAAUGCCUAUGGCCCAAAAAAUGGGGCCAAGAAGAGAAUGUGACCUUUAUGUAUAUAUUCGCUAUAUAAUAGAUAUGUUAACUUCAGUCACUCCUUGGCACUAUGGAUCUGCCCUAUUAAUUAAAACUAAAUAUUUGCUCAUUCCAGCUAACAUUUGGAAAGCUAUUUGAUGAUGUGAAGGCACGGUAUUUCUAGAAAUGCUUUUUAAUAGGUAGUGGGUCGCUCUUUUUUGGAUGCUCUGACAUUAUGAUAGUAGCUUUGCGAUACUCAGAAUGUGAAUUUAAAAGUGAUUUCAUUGUUAAGCAUUAUAAUUUAUGACUUUUUUUUCCUGCAGCCUUCCUCAAACCUGAUAGCUUUUUCAGUUCCACAGUUGGCCUCAUGUUGCACUUUUCUCUUUGCUUUGAAGGCUGGGCAGAAGUCUUGUCAGGGUUUGCAGUUGUACUACUCCGUAUAGGGCUGCGUGCCUGUGCUUAAAACCAUACGGGUGUUAUUCUUCCAGAAUUGUUGCCACCAUGGUUCCACUUUCUUAUUAAACCCAAUGCUAAGAAUCACUUCAUUAACAAUGUAUCACAUUAAAAACCACAUGCUAAGUAUCAUAUACUUGAAAAAUUAUAUUGUGAAAGAUAAGGCCUCAGAGACUUGGGGUUUUCUGGGUGGGUUUUUUUUUUUUUUUUGGUUUUUUUUUGGGGAGGGAGUUGUUUUUGUUUGGUUUGGGUUUUGGUUGGGAUUAUUUGAUUCUUCUUUUUUGGUUGUUUUUUGUUUGUUUGUUUGGGGUUUUUUGGUGAAAACUUGGCACAUUAAAUGCACAGAAAAAGUGUUCUGGUUCAGAAAGGUUUACAAAUGUAGUAUGUCAGAACCAUUCCUCUCUAAAAUAUCUUUCUCAUUUAUUCUCCCUUGUUUGCCACAUUGAUCACUUAAGACCUGAAGUUGCUAACGUGCAUAAUAAGCACCAUCUUAUGACCGAUGAAUGCCACUGAAGUAAUUGGAAUAAUUUUUAGUAAAGCAGUGCCCUGUGUUUGCAGAAUGGACUAGCCCUUGUCUUUUAAGCUCUGCAGGGCAGGGAAUUGUCUUUGAAGUAUUUUCUGUAAAAUGCCUGGCAUGUCUGUGUGUGCCAAAAAAUGAUAAGUAAUAAUAAACGGUAGUUGACAAUUUAUGCAGACUUCUCUUUUUGUUUUUUAAUUAUUAUUAUAAUUUCGGAAUUUGCCUAUAGGG